AGCCUCCUGUGCUUACCACAGGCUGUGUUUUUACACUGACUAAACAGAUAAAGAGGAGGAAAAGUAAACCUACCCCAUAUACACUUCAGCCUAGGCCCUUUGCUUUGUCUGCAUUGUGAAUGGGAAGACAUGG
This 133-nucleotide small nucleolar RNA is filed under the name Castor canadensis (American beaver). Its description in RNAcentral is "Small nucleolar RNA SNORA51 (ENSCCNG00000016726.1)". It matches the Rfam family "Small nucleolar RNA SNORA51". From Rfam's summary of the family: ACA51 is a member of the H/ACA class of snoRNA that guide the sites of modification of uridines to pseudouridines. The record is from Rfam by way of RNAcentral. Lineage: Eukaryota; Metazoa; Chordata; Mammalia; Rodentia; Castoridae.